GAUGGCAUAGUUCUUCCGCAUGGUAGAACUAUUAAAGAAUUUCGGUCAUCGAUGGGGAUGCGUUCCAUUAGGUUGUUGGCGGGGUAACGGCCCACCAAGCCUUCGAUGGAUAGGGGUUCUGAGAGGAAGGUCCCCCACAUUGGAACUGAGACACGGUCCAAACUCCUACGGGAGGCAGCAGUGAGGAAUAUUGGUCAAUGGACGAGAGUCUGAACCAGCCAAGUAGCGUGAAGGAUGACUGCCCUAUGGGUUGUAAACUUCUUUUAUACGGGAAUAAAGUGAGGCACGUGUGCCUUUUUGUAUGUACCGUAUGAAUAAGGAUCGGCUAACUCCGUGCCAGCAGCCGCGGUAAUACGGAGGAUCCGAGCGUUAUCCGGAUUUAUUGGGUUUAAAGGGAGCGUAGGCGGACGCUUAAGUCAGUUGUGAAAGUUUGCGGCUCAACCGUAAAAUUGCAGUUGAUACUGGGUGUCUUGAGUACAGUAGAGGCAGGCGGAAUUCGUGGUGUAGCGGUGAAAUGCUUAGAUAUCACGAAGAACUCCGAUUGCGAAGGCAGCCUGCUGGACUGUAACUGACGCUGAUGCUCGAAAGUGUGGGUAUCAAACAGGAUUAGAUACCCUGGUAGUCCACACAGUAAACGAUGAAUACUCGCUGUUUGCGAUAUACAGUAAGCGGCC
Molecule: ribosomal RNA, 674 nt
Filed under: uncultured bacterium
Lineage: Bacteria
Description: bacterial SSU rRNA
Rfam family: Bacterial small subunit ribosomal RNA
Source: RNAcentral